CACGUAGGUGGUCCGCUAAGUCGGAUGUGAAAUUCCCCGGCUCAACCGGGGAACGGCAAUCGAUACUGGCGGGCUUGAGGUCCGGAGGGGUGAGUGGAACUCCUGGUGGAGCGGUGAAAUGCGUAGAUAUCAGGAGGAACACCAGUGGCGAAAGCGGCUCACUGGCCGGAAUCUGACACUGAGGUGCGAAAGCUAGGGUAGCAAACG
RNAcentral lists this ribosomal RNA (207 nucleotides) under uncultured bacterium. RNAcentral's name for it is "partial 16S ribosomal RNA". It matches the Rfam family "Bacterial small subunit ribosomal RNA", at positions 568 to 774 of the family's 1533-position model. The record is from RNAcentral.